GUUGUGAGGUUAAGCGACCAAGCGUACACGGUGGAUGCCCUGGCAGUCAGAGGCGAUGAAGGACGUGCUAAUCUGCGAAAAGCGCCGGUAAGGUGAUAUGAACCGUUAUAACCGGCGAUGUCCGAAUGGGGAAACCCAGUGUGACUCGUCACACUAUCAUUAACUGAAUCCAUAGGUUAAUGAGGCGAACCGGGGGAACUGAAACAUCUAAGUACCCCGAGGAAAAGAAAUCAACCGAGAUUCCCCCAGUAGCGGCGAGCGAACGGGGAGGAGCCCAGAGCCUGAAUCAGCAUGUGUGUUAGUGGAAGCGUCUGGAAAGGCGCGCGACACAGGGUGACAGCCCCGUACACAAAAGCGCAUGUGCUGUGAGCUCGAUGAGUAGGGCGGGACACGUGGUAUCCUGUCUGAAUAUGGGGGGACCAUCCUCCAAGGCUAAAUACUCCUGACUGACCGAUAGUGAACCAGUACCGUGAGGGAAAGGCGAAAAGAACCCCGGCGAGGGGAGUGAAACAGAACCUGAAACCGUGUACGUACAAGCAGUGGGAGCAUGAGUUUACUCAUGUGACUGCGUACCUUUUGUAUAAUGGGUCAGCGACUUAUAUUCUGUAGCAAGGUUAACCGAAUAGGGGAGCCGUAGGGAAACCGAGUCUUAAC
Molecule: ribosomal RNA, 654 nt
Filed under: Salmonella enterica
Lineage: Bacteria; Pseudomonadati; Pseudomonadota; Gammaproteobacteria; Enterobacterales; Enterobacteriaceae
Description: partial 23S ribosomal RNA
Rfam family: Bacterial large subunit ribosomal RNA
Source: RNAcentral